GCCGGGCGUGGUGGUGCAUGCCUGUAAUCCCAGCACUUUUGGAGGCAGAGGUGGGUGGAUCACUUGAGGUCAGGAGUUCGAGACCAGCCUGACCAACAUGGUGAAAACACAUCUCUA
Unclassified non-coding RNA from Pongo abelii (Sumatran orangutan), 117 nucleotides. It matches the Rfam family "Metazoan signal recognition particle RNA". From Rfam's summary of the family: The signal recognition particle (SRP) is a universally conserved ribonucleoprotein. It is involved in the co-translational targeting of proteins to membranes. The record is from Ensembl. NCBI's taxonomy places the organism in Eukaryota, Metazoa, Chordata, Mammalia, Primates, Hominidae.